Molecule: transfer RNA, 75 nt
Filed under: Thermoprotei archaeon
Lineage: Archaea; Thermoproteati; Thermoproteota; Thermoprotei
Description: tRNA-Phe
Rfam family: tRNA
About the family: Transfer RNA (tRNA) molecules are approximately 80 nucleotides in length.
Source: RNAcentral
GCCGCCGUAGCUCAGCCCGGGAGAGCGCCCGAGGAAACCGGGUGGUCGCGGGUUCAAGUCCCGCCGGCGGCACCA